UAAACCAUCCUCUGUAAGACUGCAAGUGCCC
Molecule: non-coding RNA, 31 nt
Filed under: Mus musculus (house mouse)
Lineage: Eukaryota; Metazoa; Chordata; Mammalia; Rodentia; Muridae
Source: RNAcentral